CGCCCCGGCGGAGGAGCGGCCGCGUCAGGGGCACUGACUCGCCAGCGGACCGAGAGCCUCGAGCUCUCGCCAGCCGACUCCGAGACGGGGAACGCCGCUCUCUCCGCGCCCUGACGCGUUUUCCUCGCCGAUUCUCCAGGAUCAGCAGCAGCGGCUGGCGGCCCGGAGCGGGCCCGGUGACCCCGAGCUGUGCUUGCCGCGCUCAGGUGUCAGCCUGCCGGCAUUUGCCUUACGGCGCAGCCAGCUCCAUAGCCAUGGCCUGGAGUCGCUCCCCUGCUGGGUAGGAGCUGGCAGCAUCCCACUUCCCUACCUCCAGGAUGGGACCACGUGGCUGCUGCCGCUGCUUCAGACCGUGAGUGAGAGCGGAGCCGACGCGUUGCAAUUAUGGACCUGCCCGUUACUGAGGAGCGGCCGUGGAGCGCAGGGCCGACAGAUGCUGAAACACGAAGAUGAUUUAGCAAAAUCUGAUCACGUCUGGGGGACAACGUUCAAAAAUUAACUGUUUUUACCUCAUUUUGUACUGACCCCUACACUCUGAACGUGCUGUGGUGAAUCUGAAGACUAUGGCCACUAAACUGCAUUUCUCUCUAAAACCAGCUUUAAAAUACCAUGCAGAUGGCAGACUAGCAAGCAGCGGUGAUUGCCUGUGGUUUGGAAUUUUAACAUCAGCACCACUUGUAAUCUGUACACAGCUGUGGCUAAAGGGGAAAAUGAAGGUUCUCUGUACAUGAUAAACCAAAAAACUACGAGUCAGCUCUCAGUAUUUUAAAUGGCUGAGAUUUCAGGAGGUAGUUCUGUUGCUCCAUCUGAAACACAAGUUUGCCUAAAGACAACCCCCUAUAGUAACGGGAUUCUGGUUUCCGCCCUCCUUCAAAGCGUGGAAAUUCAUCUGGAGUAGGAAGCAAACCCUUCCGGGCUCCUGAGCAGUAAGAGAAACAGGGGACAGGAGUGAGAAAAGACAUUGCAUUCAUGAGAAUACUGUUUGCCCAAGAAAUGCCUUUCCUUCCUCCUUGCAUUUCCACGUGGAAGAGCGUUCCCCUCACCUCUCAGAGCACCGCGACCUCGCCCCCGGACACCAUGGUCCCUUCCUCUGGAGUUUUCAUCUGGAGAGUCAAAAGCGUCAUCUGGCCCAAAAUCUUCAGGGCCAGGAAAGCCAUCUCUGCCCCUGGGUCCCCGGCCCUCAUGUCUUGAGGGUCCUCCUCUUCUGAAGCUACAAGAAAGAACAUGAUACAAAUAUGGGAUUUAGGUAGAACUGAGUCAGGUUCAGUUUUAUAAUCAACUCAUUUCUGAACUGUUUCACCUAAUGCUACAGCACAUACAGUUACUAGAACAGGAUAUGUCGGUGGAAAAGUGCUCAUCUGCUGCCUUGGAGCACUUUCAUAGCCAUUUUUGUAGUUUUCCCCUCAUAUUUCCUUCUGUUGAUUGUGUUGGCUUUUCAUAGAAGGAAAAUUUUGUUAAACAUACUGCAUUCAUUUAAUGAAAAGGCAGGAAAAAUAAUUAAUGAGUGAUGAUAGAUGUAAGGUGAGGUAAGGCAAGGAAAAGUAAUUUCCCUUAACUGUGGUGGUCUUACAUUCCCAUUCCCUUUUUCUCUUUCCAUUUUGGUGAUAAAACAAACGGAAAACACACAAGCAAUGAGAAUCACGGCUAUAACAAAAUAUCCCAGCAUCUCAUUCCUAUUGAUUCUAUAAUUCUUUUGCCAAAAUAUUCUCUUUUUCAUUCCAUUCUUCAAAGUUUACAACUUUAGCAAGUGCAUCUAGACUGCCCUUGGCUCUGUAGGGACAGUGAUGGUGGAACAGCACACAGCAGUGUUCUGCAACCUGAAGAGCAGUUUAUCCAGCUGCAAUAAUCAAGAACUUUGUGUUGCAAAAUGUAGUUGUGGCAUUGAAGUUUGAUAAUUGCCGUCUACUUCUAUGGCAUCUUCAGGAAUUUGGUAUGACUGGAUUCUCCACCUCAUCUUAACUGAGUACAGUUCCUCCAGCACCACACUGGGGGGGCCUGGACAGCUCUCCAGAGAGGAGAAUGGCUCUUACUGACCUGUCAGUGCCAUGUCAGGUCAGCCUGCAGAUGGCUGCAUGAAUAAUUAAUAAUAGUUUUGUUUCUGACAUGACCAGUUGAAACACCUGGAGUGCUUGUAAAGCACAUCCACGUUCUGUGACAACUGCACUUGGAAGGUGCACGCCAGCCUCAGACACAGCCCAGGGUCUCUGCAGGCACAGGGCGAGUGUUUAGGUGGUGCUGAGUCCUCGCCGUGCCACCCCCCCCUCAGUGACAGCACACAGUGUGGAGCAUUCCUUGCCCAGUCACAGAUGCCCCCCACCUCCCUGCUGUUCCCAGUUCCACACUGGCCAAACUGGAACCACCACAAUAUUCCAAUGCUGUUGGCUGUGUGCAGCAUCCCCUUCCCCAGCUCAUUAACGACACAGUGCAUCCUAUUACAAGCAAAACUUUAGAUACUUUUAUUUAGAAUUUUAACAACAUUAACCUUUUAAUUACAAAUUUAAAUAUUUUAACAGUAGUCAUAACACAAUACAAUAUUUUUAAACUUUUACAUUGUUUUUAAUAAAAAACAAUAGGUCUGUCUCCACCUCCCAGAAAACAAGCACAAUACAGAGAGGAGGCUGCUGUGCCUGUACAGGUACAACAGUGAAUGGAGGAGUGCUGUGUAUGGACCAUGAACCAUUUACAUUAACCUGGAUGGUUUAGGAAAACAAACUCAACAGUUUCAGGUACAAAUGGUUCAGAUAAUCACAGAGCAAUAUUGUUUAGCCUUGAAACAGCACAGUCCUCUAGAUGUUUCUUAGAGGGCCUCCCACUUUAAUACUGACAUGGUGAUUCUGCUUAGCUUGAAAAUUACCAAGAUUUGCAACACAAGGCCCUAGGGCUGCAGGAACAGAGCCUUUCCUAUUGCCUUCAGGCAACUUACGGACACAGUUGAGUUUUGAAAUCUACCAUACCUAUGCCUGACACAGCCACAGCUCCUAGAACUGUGUUAUGGAUCCUUAUUCACCUUUUCAUAUCAGUCACGCGGAAAGCCCUGCCUUGCAUCGGGCUCAGUUCCCGUUUGACUGCUCUCAUAUCUUCUUCCUCGAGGCCUAGGACCUUACUGUACACAACUACACACUGUGCAGAUUAGCAGGCAGGAAGAGGCAGGUCUCUGCAGUAGAAGCAUCAUGUUGAUAUGCACAGGUAGAGUAAGAACAGGACAGGGAUGAAAAGGACGGGAAAUUAGAGAGAAACAUACAUACACACAUUUGCCUCUCAUGCUUGAUCAAACCGGUUACAAUCUCAAUUCUAAACCAAGUCAGCUAAAGGAGUGGUUGGGAUUAAGUCCACCACAGCAUCUGCAGUAAAUGGCACCUUGUUCACCUUCAUUCCAAGAAAUUCAUCGAGUUUACAAGCACAAUGAGCCCUUUAGAGCUCUGUGCCAAAUCACUGCAAACUCUGGACAAACACUUGUAUUCUGAUAAGCAGAUUACUCUUAGUUAAAAAGUCAGGUUCUUGUUUCCCUUCCUGAAACUUCUGAAAAAUCAGGACCAUAAUAAAAUACUUUCCAGUCCCUAAGCGUUUUCAAUGUAAGAUCUGAAAAUCUCUACUGAGCUUCUAAAAGUGUUGUCUGCUAUGUCUUUUUAAGUUCUCUGAUGCAGACCAUUCAGCUUGGAUUCUCUCUGGCUUUACUUUUUAAAAAUGGCUUUAAUUGUUACCUUCUUUUAGUUACUGUUCAUUUCUUUUCAUACUCUUCACACAAAAGGAAGAUACAUCUUUACAGAGCUAGGUAGAAAAUAGCUAAAAGAAGAGCUGUAUAGAUGCAAAGUAAAAGGAAUGUAAGAAAAUUAUUUAAAAGGCAACUAAAACACACAAAAUUCACAUUAUGUGGAGACCACAGCAUAUUUGUACAAGCACAUGUUCUUAUACAUAGAGAGUUGGUGGUCAGUGAGAGGCUUAGACCUUGGAGGCCAAAUUUCAUUCAGUUAAACCAGCAUAAAUCUGGAGCAAUUUUGCUGACAGUUAACCUUGAAGUCAUUGUAAUUCCUCCAUAUUUAAACUGGUAACUAGAAGCAAAUUCAUCCCUUUGUGAUUUAUUUGGAGAUUGUGAGCAAUGACAUGAACAUUGCUCUAAAUCAGAUUAUUUUUGAGUUCUUCGCUUGGCAUUAAGAAAUAAGUCAGAAAGAGAAAUAAAAUUUCUACAAGCAAACACAUAAGAAAAUAGUCUCGACAGUCCAACAGAUGCUGUAGCUCUGUCCCUUCUAUCCAACAGUAGGAUCACUGUUCCUGCUCCUUACAAGGACAUUGCAUCUCAUCCUACAGUCUCUACAUCUCAUCCUACAGUCUCAUGCUGUAGUUUGUGACUGGAGACAGUCUCAAAAUCCACGUCUAAUGUUCAAAAGUUUGUCACUUUAACCUUCAUGUCUCCUCUCAAUUUUCAUCAAAACGGUCUCAAAUCUUCAUCCUGUGUCACUGGAUCUUCUCUACAAACUUUCUCCCUUCUCUUUACUUACUGUUUACAGACACGGAAGCUGCUGUGUACAAUGACCAUUUGUCAAGUUUUCUUCUAUUACUGAAUGACUUUUAUGGACUCUAUACUCAGGUAUAUUAGAGUUUUCAUUUCCUUAUUGGUUUCCAGUUUAUAAAUCUGAAACAGAUAGACUCCUUAAUGAAAAGGAAACCAGGAAAAAAGAGUUCCCUCCAUUUACCCUUUAACCCAAGAAAGAGAAGUAGAUUUAUUCUUACCUCUCAUCUCGUCUUCCUCGGAAGCGUGCAUCCUCAGGAUCCCGUGGGUAUCUAUCAUCUGAAGGUCUCCGUCCUUCCCAAGCACCAGGAGGUCCCCGGUUUGAACUGCCUCCCUCGAAUUCCCUGUGAUCGGGAGGAAAGGGAGGCCCAGGUCCACCUCGUCUCCAUUUCUCAUCUUGCAAUGGUGGGCCUCCUCUCCCCUCGAAUUCCCGCAGGCGAUGGCCAAAUCUCUUAUCCGGAUGGAAAUCUUCACGGAAGUCAUCUGGGCGAUCAAAGUCAUCAUGGAAAUCGGGGUGAGGUCCUCGUCUGUCUGGCAAGCCCCUGCUGUCUCUGCCAUCCCCCCACUCCUGCCCACCUCGGAACAAGCCCCUCUCGGGCCCGUGCUCGGGGCCGCCGCUGUUCUGGUCGUGCCGUCUGUCGGACAGCGGGCCCAGGUGAUGGUUGGGGGGACCACGGGUGUCACCUGCAGGAAAAAAAAUCACAGCAGCUUUCUGUAAUGUUUUCUAAAAUCCUCAAGGGUGCUCUAGUUCAUACAGUUCUACAAAGCACACGACACAUUUCACACUAACCAAUACUUUUGGGAAAACGUUUCCUCUGUAUUCCAGCCCACACCUAUGAAAGCUCUCAGCCAUUUCUCUCUGGAAGCACUGCACUGGGACAGCCCCUCUUGUAGGAGACUGACUCGCAGGAGAACAGACAAUACAUUUAAUUACCUUUAUUAAGACCAGGUCCUUGGUUGUGAGGGCCAAGACGACCUUGUCCUCCCUGCUGCCCCAGGCCUGGGAUCAGCGGAGGAGGACCAGGGUUCUGUCCGUCCUGUGAACAAGUAAGAAGAAAAGCCACGUGUGGGUAGUUUAAACAUUUUGUAAGAGUGCAAACCAAUUUUCUUUCCAUAAAAACUGCAUCUGCACAGGUUGUACAACAGAAACAGCCUCAUUUUUCAGACAUUCAUAUCAGUAAUGCUUUCAGUCACUGAGAAAUGUGUAAUUUUAUAGGAAACAGCAUUUCAAGGAUUAAUGUUUUACUUGUAACAACCAAAGAUGAUAAAGCUCAUAUUCUGGCUCAGUAUGAAUAUUCUAUAAUAAUAUAUUGAAUAUUUUAUUCCUCUAGAUGAGGAAACAGUGUAUAUUUGUUUGAAAAAUAUCAGGCACUGAUUUAUAUGCAGGUUAAGAGCUGCAUAGACCAAAGAUUUCCUUUGAUAAUGAACAAAAAAGAGAAACUAUAUGUACAAAAAUAAAUAUCAAGAAUGUUGGGAUAGGGGGACAACAACAGAGCUGUAAGAGAACCUUUCCUGUAAAACUCUAAGCUGUUAACAGGGAAAUACACGAGUUUCGUUUUUAACAUGCUGGCAAAGUUUGUUUUCUUUACUUUAAGGAUUAAAAAAAAGUGCUAACCUUUGGCUAAAUACCAAAUUGUUAAGGGGGUUUUCAGCACUGACAGGGCUAAAGGCAGGAGCCACAGUCACCUCCUUCCUCAAACAGAAGCAGUAGAGUGGGCAGAGGUCUGUGUAUGUUAUGUGAUCCCAAAGAAAAAAAUAAAGUAUGGAGGUGUCUUUUGUUACUUUCUUUCUUUUUUGUGUGUGAAUUUUAAAGGAUAAAAAAAUGCUCUUGCAAUUUCGCUGCUGUCACAGACCCAUGAAAGGUACCAAGUUUACACUGGACCCUCUGUGGUGACACCGGAUGGGAAACUGUGUUUGGACUAUGGUCUGAUUCUGCCUUAAAACAGCAAAGGCAUGGAAAAAAGCCAUCAUUUGGGGUUUGUAUUUGACUGGCACUGAAAAGGGGCAUGCACAGUAUUUACACUGUAAUUAUGAGAUCCAGAAGUAAAAAUGUGAACAAGACAGAGUUAAAACCUGCAGGAUUGCUAUAAAAAACCUUCUUAUGCUGACAUGACCAAAAAUCAAAUUCUCCCCAGAAACCUCUAAGAUGUAAUAUUUUUAAUAGUAACAGAACCCCCUAAACAUGUGACAUUUUUUAAGUAGACAUGUCUGGUAUGCAAGAUUUAGACCUGGCCUUCAUACUGACUUGUAAAAACCCCUCCAGACUUCAGGUAGUCUGGAAAUACUUAAAGACCUGUAUUCCAUCACAUCAUUGUAUCAUAAUUAGACUGCUUAACUUCUCCAUGAAUCAAA
Long non-coding RNA from Chiroxiphia lanceolata (lance-tailed manakin), 6859 nucleotides. RefSeq lists it as uncharacterized. The transcript has 3 exons. NCBI's taxonomy places the organism in Eukaryota, Metazoa, Chordata, Aves, Passeriformes, Pipridae. The record is from RefSeq and is a predicted model, not a curated record.